Molecule: ribosomal RNA, 835 nt
Filed under: uncultured bacterium
Lineage: Bacteria
Description: bacterial SSU rRNA
Rfam family: Bacterial small subunit ribosomal RNA
Source: RNAcentral
UUGAUCCUGGCUCAGGACGAACGCUGGCGGCGUGCCUAAUACAUGCAAGUCGAGCGAGCUUGCCUAGAUGAUUUUAGUGCUUGCACUAAAUGAAACUAUUUACAAGCGAGCGGCGGACGGGUGAGUAACACGUGGGUAACCUGCCCAAGAGACUGGGAUAACACCUGGAAACAGAUGCUAAUACCGGAUAACAACACUAGACGCAUGUCUAGAGUUUGAAAGAUGGUUCUGCUAUCACUCUUGGAUGGACCUGCGGUGCAUUAGCUAGUUGGUAAGGUAACGGCUUACCAAGGCAAUGAUGCAUAGCCGAGUUGAGAGACUGAUCGGCCACAUUGGGACUGAGACACGGCCCAAACUCCUACGGGAGGCAGCAGUAGGGAAUCUUCCACAAUGGACGAAAGUCUGAUGGAGCAACGCCGCGUGAGUGAAGAAGGGUUUCGGCUCGUAAAGCUCUGUUGGUAGUGAAGAAAGAUAGAGGUAGUAACUGGCCUUUAUUUGACGGUAAUUACUUAGAAAGUCCCGGCUAACUACGUGCCAGCAGCCGCGGUAAUACGUAGGUGGCAAGCGUUGUCCGGAUUUAUUGGGCGUAAAGCGAGUGCAGGCGGUUCAAUAAGUCUGAUGUGAAAGCCUUCGGCUCAACCGGCGAAUUGCAUCAGAAACUGUUGAACUUGAGUGCAGAAGAGGAGAGUGGAACUCCAUGUGUAGCGGUGGAAUGCGUAGAUAUAUGGAAGAACACCAGUGGCGAAGGCGGCUCUCUGGUCUGCAACUGACGCUGAGGCUCGAAAGCAUGGGUAGCGAACAAGAUUAGAUACCCUGGUAGUCCAUGCCGUAAACG